Molecule: long non-coding RNA, 1653 nt
Organism: Mus musculus (house mouse)
Lineage: Eukaryota; Metazoa; Chordata; Mammalia; Rodentia; Muridae
Product: predicted gene, 39457
Exons: 3
Source: RefSeq, a predicted model, not a curated record
UGCAGAGCCACUGAGGUAUCGGGAGAAAACGUGGCUGAAGCACUCAGGGGAGGAUUUCCACAGGCACUGAGUUAAUCCAGACAAUUUGAAAAGGAUCAGCCUCAUGCUGUCUUGAAACUGCCCCGGUAGCCUGGGGAGGAACCCAAGUGGGAAGAAAGGCAGCUGGCUUGAGGUGCAGACCCAGAGCCUUGUGUGGAGUGGCUGGCCCCUGCUUGAUGAGAAUGAUGGGCCCUCCCUCUGGACUACACACACUCAUGGGCACACGCACAUACACAUCCCACACCGCCACAAGGAGCAUGGCUCCCUCCGAACACAUCAGCUCUGGUCGCCAUAGCAACGCAGUAGCCAACUUCCCAGCUGAACAACUUUUACCAGACACAAGCACAUUUUCCUGCCCUGCCCUUCUUCACUGGGUGCUGAGAGGGACCAGAGUGUGGGCUGUACUGAAAGGCCUCUAAAGGGGUCAGUGACCCCAGGGAAGGAAGGCUGCCCCACUUGUGUGGGUUGCUCUACCAGGAAGGGCCCUCUCCAGAUGGCAGGACUGGGUGCAUAGGUCUUGUCUUUCUGGAGUACAGUGAGGGAGGCCUGGGCUGAACAGAAAAUACUGGGGUUCUUACUUCUCGGAGAAAGAAACCAGGCUACAGAUAUCGCUCAGAGGGAAAUGUGCUUGCUGCAUAAAUAUGAGGAUUAAAACUUGGAUCCCAGCACCUACAAUGAGUCCUGGGCAGGAGGGGUGCCAGUCUGUAAUGCCAGUGCUGAGGAAGAUGAGGAAUCCUCAGAACAAGCAGUGGGCCAGCCUCGCUGACUCAGUGAGCUCUGGGUUCAAGUGAGAGACCCUGCCUUAAUAUAUAAUCAGGUGGAGGACAAUCUAAGUCACCCAACAUCAGGCCUCUACCCAAGACUGCAGUGACCCCAACAGCACAUCUCCCUAAAUGAUGGCAUGCCAGGCUGGUGAACACUAACCUCCAAGAGAGAAGUCAUCUGUCACCGGGCUCUCAGACAGCUUGCCUUAACCCACAGACUUCUAAGGCAGAGAAUGCUAUAUGGGAACCUGGAAGGACAUUACUAUCAGAGCAGCAGACAGAGAUUUAAAUAGAAACAUCUUUCCAACACUCACACCAAAUUUGGGAAGUGAAGCGACUAAGAUGUCCGCAAAGUGAAGAGGAACCUGGCUCACACCUCAGGUGAUUCAGGCAGCACUGUGCUCCAGCACUCAGGAUGAUGCAGGUAAUAAGUACUGUAUCCCCCAGCACCCAGGGGAAUACAAGCACUUCUGUUACUGUAAAAGACCCCAUAAGCUCCCAUGUUUGAAUACUUAGUCCCAGUUGACGGUGUUAUUUGGAGAUGAGGAAGUGUGACCUGAGUAGAGGAGGAGAAGUGCGGCCGGGCGGUUGCUUUGAAGUUUCCGAAGCCGAACGCCAUCCUCUUCUAGCUUCCUCUGCCUUUGUUUGUGAUCCGAGACCCGAGCUGCUGCUUUGAGCGGCCACCUGCUCCCCCUACUCCAAUGUGAACUCCAAUCCACAACUCUAAGCCCUAAACCCUUCCAACCCACAACUCUAAGCCCUACCGAGACCUUUCCUUCUGCAAGUUGCCUUGGUCGAUGUUUUUCAUAGCAGGACAGUAACUAAAACACCUACCUGAAGAAAAGUUUGA